GGCCGUGUAGCUCAAUGGCAGAGCGUCUGACUACGAUGCAGUAUUCUUAAAGUAUUCUUAGCACACGUAAUCAGAAGGUCGCAGGUUCGACCCCUGUCUCGGUCA
RNAcentral lists this transfer RNA (105 nucleotides) under Metarhizium acridum. Its description in RNAcentral is "tRNA-Arg". It matches the Rfam family "tRNA". Rfam says of the family: Transfer RNA (tRNA) molecules are approximately 80 nucleotides in length. The record is from RNAcentral. Lineage: Eukaryota; Fungi; Ascomycota; Sordariomycetes; Hypocreales; Clavicipitaceae. RNAcentral also lists the same sequence under 1 other name.